GAGAGCACAACUCCUGGCUGCAGCUGAAGAAGGAGGACGAUUGAUUUCUGUCAGUUCGCUCUAACGUUACAGUUUGCUCCACUUUGCUCUGUGGUUUAUAUGUUUUCUUCUUACCAUUGCUUGUAAGCUGGAUUGAGUAAGAUGGAUCAUCUUUAAAGGAACCAGGAGUUAAGGCAGAUGUGGAGGCACACGGGUGACACCAGACACACACCAAGCACAUUGUUCGGACAUUCAAUCAUGACAUGAUCCAUGUGGAUGCUGUCCAUUGAGGAAAGAGUUUGUUCAGAGGUUUCUGGACAGAAUUAAUCCCAAAGAUGGGAAAAAGUGCACAUCCACACAAGGAGCAAGCAAAAAGACAAGGAACUUGGUGCAGAGAAAAGCUGUGGCCAUUAACCCCCAUGUGAACAGCUUCAUGCAGUCCCUGAUAGAGUUUGAAUGGGUGACUUCAAACUAAAGGCCAGUGUCAGUCUGCCACAGUUUAAUGCAUUUAUUUUUAGUGUUCAAUAAAAUUCAAAUAGAAUAUUUAAAACUAUGGGCCAGUGUUCCUUUUACCACAGUUAAAUGUUACCUUUUAGUUGAUGAUGGACUUAAAACUUCAAACUAUGGAACAGUGUUCUUUUUACCACAGUGAAAUGCUACCUUUUAGUCGAUGAUGGACUUUAAACUGAAAACUUCAAACUAUGGACCAGUGUUCUAUUUGCCAGAGUUAAAUAUAUUACA
Paramisgurnus dabryanus is the source of this 720-nucleotide long non-coding RNA. RefSeq lists it as uncharacterized. Lineage: Eukaryota; Metazoa; Chordata; Actinopteri; Cypriniformes; Cobitidae. The record is from RefSeq and is a predicted model, not a curated record.